GGCGUGCUUAACACAUGCAAGUCGAACGGGAUCCAAGGGCCCUUUUGUGUGUUUUGAGAAUGGUGGACGGGUGAGUAACACGUGAGUAACCUGCCCCCUUCUUUUGGAUAACCGCAUGAAAGUGUGGCUAUACAGGAUAUUCCAGGCUGGUCGCAUGAUUGGUUUGGGAAAUGGUUUGGUCUGGUGGGGGAUGGGCUCGUGGCCUAUCAUCUUGUUGGUGGGGUGAUGGCCUACCAAGGCGGUGACGGGUAGCCGGCCUGAGAGGGUGGGCGGUCACACUGGGACUGAGAUACGGCCCAGACUCCUACGGGAGGCAGCAGUGGGGGAUUUUGCACAAUGGGCGCAAGCCUGAUGCAGCGACGCCGCGUGAGGGAUGAAGGCCUUCGGGUUGUAAACCUCUUUCGCUGGGUUGAAAGGCCAUGCUUUGGGU
Molecule: ribosomal RNA, 430 nt
Filed under: Gleimia europaea
Lineage: Bacteria; Bacillati; Actinomycetota; Actinomycetes; Actinomycetales; Actinomycetaceae
Description: bacterial SSU rRNA
Rfam family: Bacterial small subunit ribosomal RNA
Source: RNAcentral